This 497-nucleotide ribosomal RNA is filed under the name uncultured Streptococcus sp. Its description in RNAcentral is "bacterial SSU rRNA". It matches the Rfam family "Bacterial small subunit ribosomal RNA", at positions 28 to 509 of the family's 1533-position model. The record is from RNAcentral. Lineage: Bacteria; Bacillati; Bacillota; Bacilli; Lactobacillales; Streptococcaceae.
GACGAACGCUGGCGGCGUGCCUAAUACAUGCAAGUAGAACGCUGAAGGAGGAGCUUGCUCUUCUGGAUGAGUUGCGAACGGGUGAGUAACGCGUAGGUAACCUGCCUGGUAGCGGGGGAUAACUAUUGGAAACGAUAGCUAAUACCGCAUAACAGUAGAUGUUGCAUGACAUUUGCUUAAAAGGUGCAAUUGCAUCACUACCAGAUGGACCUGCGUUGUAUUAGCUAGUUGGUGGGGUAACGGCUCACCAAGGCGACGAUACAUAGCCGACCUGAGAGGGUGAUCGGCCACACUGGGACUGAGACACGGCCCAGACUCCUACGGGAGGCAGCAGUAGGGAAUCUUCGGCAAUGGACGGAAGUCUGACCGAGCAACGCCGCGUGAGUGAAGAAGGUUUUCGGAUCGUAAAGCUCUGUUGUAAGAGAAGAACGAGUGUGAGAGUGGAAAGUUCACACUGUGACGGUAUCUUACCAGAAAGGGACGGCUAACUACGUGCC